AGCUACUAAGAGCGAAUGGUGGAUGCCUUGACUGGUAAAGGCGAUGAAGGACGUACUAGACUGCGAUAAGCUACGGGGAGCUGUCAAGAAGCUUUGAUCCGUAGAUUUCCGAAUGGGGCAACCCAAUGUAUAGAGAUAUACAUUACCUAUAUAGGAGCGAACGAGGGGAAUUGAAACAUCUUAGUACCCUCAGGAAAAGAAAUCAAUAGAGAUUGCGUCAGUAGCGGCGAGCGAAAGCGUAAGAGGGCAAACCCAGUGCUUGCACUGGGGGUUGUAGGACUGCAAUGUGCAAGAGGUGAGUUUAGCAGAACAUUCUGGAAAGUAUAGCCAUAGAGGGUGAUAGUCCCGUAUGCGAAAAACAAACCUUAGCUAGCAGUAUCCUGAGUAGGGCGGGACACGAGAAAUCCUGUCUGAAGCUGGGUCGACCACGAUCCAACCCUAAAUACUAAUACCAGAUCGAUAGUGCACAAGUACCGUGAGGGAAAGGUGAAAAGAACUGAGGUGAUCAGAGUGAAAUAGAACCUGAAACCAUUUGCUUACAAUCAUUCAGAGCACUAUGUAGCAAUACAGUGUGAUGGACUGCCUUUUGCAUAAUGAGCCUGCGAGUUGUGGUGUCUGGCAAGGUUAAGCAAACGCGAAGCCGUAGCGAAAGCGAGUCUGAAUAGGGCGCUUAGUCAGAUGCUGCAGACCCGAAACGAAGUGAUCUAUCCAUGAGCAAGUUGAAGCUAGUGUAAGAACUAGUGGAGGACUGAACCCAUAGGCGUUGAAAAGCCCCGGGAUGACUUGUGGAUAGGGGUGAAAGGCCAAUCAAACUUCGUGAUAGCUGGUUCUCUCCGAAAUAUAUUUAGGUAUAGCGUUGUGUCGUAAUAUAAGGGGGUAGAGCACUGAAUGGGCUAGGGCAUACACCAAUGUACCAAACCCUAUCAAACUCCGAAUACCUUAUAUGUAAUCACAGCAGUCAGGCGGCGAGUGAUAAAAUCCGUCGUCAAGAGGGAAACAACCCAGACUACCAGCUAAGGUCCCUAAAUCUUACUUAAGUGGAAAACGAUGUGAAGUUACUUAAACAACCAGGAGGUUGGCUUAGAAGCAGCCAUCCUUUAAAGAAAGCGUAAUAGCUCACUGGUCUAGUGAUUUUGCGCGGAAAAUAUAACGGGGCUAAAGUAAGUACCGAAGCUGUAGACUUGCGCACAACUUAGAUUAUUUAAGUUUAGAAUAUGAGAAACUAAGUUAUAUGUUUAGUUAUAUUUUUACUGAUUUUUAUAGAGUAAAGAUAGAAAUAAAACUUAGUAAAAUCAGUAAAAAUAUUCUUAGACUAAAGUUAAGUAGUUUAAGUUGUGUGCAAGUGGUAGGAGAGCGUUCUAUUUGCGUCGAAGGUAUACCGGUAAGGAGUGCUGGAGCGAAUAGAAGUGAGCAUGCAGGCAUGAGUAGCGAUAAUUAAUGUGAGAAUCAUUAACGCCGUAAACCCAAGGUUUCCUACGCGAUGCUCGUCAUCGUAGGGUUAGUCGGGUCCUAAGUCGAGUCCGAAAGGGGUAGACGAUGGCAAAUUGGUUAAUAUUCCAAUACCAACAUUAGUGUGCGAUGGAAGGACGCUUAGGGCUAAGGGGGCUAGCGGAUGGAAGUGCUAGUCUAAGGUCGUAGGAGGUUAUACAGGCAAAUCCGUAUAACAAUACUCCGAGAACUGAAAGGCUUUUUGAAGUCUUCGGAUGGAUAGAAGAACCCCUGAUGCCAUCGAGCCAAGAAAAGUUUCUAAGUUUAGCUAAUGUUGCCCGUACCGUAAACCGACACAGGUGGGUGGGAUGAGUAUUCUAAGGCGCGUGGAAGAACUCUCUUUAAGGAACUCUGCAAAAUAGCACCGUAUCUUCGGUAUAAGGUGUGGUUCGCUUCGUAUUAGGAUUUACUCCGAAAGCGAAGAAACUUACAACAAAGAGUCCCUCCCGACUGUUUACCAAAAACACAGCACUCUGCUAACUCGUAAGAGGAUGUAUAGGGUGUGACGCCUGCCCGGUGCUCGAAGGUUAAUUGAUGGGGUUAGCAUUAGCGAAGCUCUUGAUCGAAGCCCGAGUAAACGGCGGCCGUAACUAUAACGGUCCUAAGGUAGCGAAAUUCCUUGUCGGUUAAAUACCGACCUGCAUGAAUGGCGUAACGAGAUGGGAGCUGUCUCAAAGAGGGAUCCAGUGAAAUUGUAGUGGAGGUGAAAAUUCCUCCUACCCGCGGCAAGACGGAAAGACCCCGUGGACCUUUACUACAGCUUGACACUGCUAUUUGGAUAAGAAUGUGCAGGAUAGGUGGGAGGCUUUGAGUAUAUGACGCCAGUUGUAUAUGAGCCAUUGUUGAGAUACCACUCUUUCUUAUUUGGGUAGCUAACCAGCUUGAGUUAUCCUC
Molecule: ribosomal RNA, 2382 nt
Filed under: Campylobacter coli
Lineage: Bacteria; Pseudomonadati; Campylobacterota; Epsilonproteobacteria; Campylobacterales; Campylobacteraceae
Description: bacterial LSU rRNA
Rfam family: Bacterial large subunit ribosomal RNA
Source: RNAcentral